Molecule: ribosomal RNA, 458 nt
Filed under: uncultured bacterium
Lineage: Bacteria
Description: SSU rRNA
Rfam family: Bacterial small subunit ribosomal RNA
Source: RNAcentral
AGAAUCAACGCUGGCGGCGUGCCUAACACAUGCAAGUCGAACGAGAAAGUGGAGCAAUCCAUUAGUAAAGUGGCGCACGGGUGAGUAACACGUGACUAACCUACCUUUUAGUGGGGGAUAACCUAGGGAAACCUGGGCUAAUACCGCAUAAUACCUACGGGUCAAAGCAGCAAUGCGCUGAAAGAGGGGGUCGCGGUCGAUUAGUUAGUUGGCAGGGUAAUGGCCUACCAAGACUGUGAUCGAUAUCCGGCCUGAGAGGGCGCACGGACACACUGGAACUGAAACACGGUCCAGACUCCUACGGGAGGCAGCAGUGGGAAUUUGCGCAAUGGGGGAAACCCUGACGCAGCAACGCCGCGUGGAGGAUGAAGUCCCUUGGGACGUAAACUCCUUUCGAUCGGGACGAUAAUGACGGUACCGGAAGAAGAAGCCCCGGCUAACUUCGUGCCAGCAGCCGC